This 261-nucleotide long non-coding RNA is filed under the name Mytilus galloprovincialis (Mediterranean mussel). The record is from RNAcentral. Lineage: Eukaryota; Metazoa; Mollusca; Bivalvia; Mytilida; Mytilidae.
GCUGUCUACCUUUACAUCAAUUUAAGAGUUAUUUAAUUCUACAUGACAUGUGUUACUGCGUUUAUUGCCUUGAUCAACUGAAUCGAAAGAUCUAUAGACUUAACAGUGGUAUCGAAAAUUGUUGGACACACAUUUGAUUCAUUUCUUGUGCUAUCUAAAAUAGGAAAGUCAUGCAUACUGUCUAUAUCAAUAACAGAUAUAUUGUGGCUAGCUUUAACUAGCGGCACAAAGUGAUCUGGAGUCCAUAUCGGACUGCGCCCA